This 169-nucleotide ribosomal RNA is filed under the name uncultured bacterium. RNAcentral describes it as "partial 16S ribosomal RNA". It matches the Rfam family "Bacterial small subunit ribosomal RNA", at positions 338 to 524 of the family's 1533-position model. The record is from RNAcentral.
CCUACGGGAGGCAGCAGUGGGGAAUCUUGGACAAUGGGCGCAAGCCUGAUCCAGCCAUGCCGCGUGAGUGAUGAAGGCCUUAGGGUUGUAAAGCUCUUUCGCCAGGGAAGAUAAUGACUGUACCUGGAUAAGAAGCCCCGGCUAACUCCGUGCCAGCAGCCGCGGUAAU